RNAcentral lists this ribosomal RNA (482 nucleotides) under uncultured bacterium. RNAcentral's name for it is "bacterial SSU rRNA". It matches the Rfam family "Bacterial small subunit ribosomal RNA", at positions 30 to 506 of the family's 1533-position model. The record is from RNAcentral.
UUGAACGCUGGCGGCAUGCUUUACACAUGCAAGUCGAACGGCAGCACGGGGGCAACCCUGGUGGCGAGUGGCGAACGGGUGAGUAAUAUAUCGGAACAUGUCCGGAAGUGGGGGAUAACGUACCGAAAGGUACGCUAAUACCGCAUACGAUCUACGGAUGAAAGCAGGGGACCGCAAGGCCUUGCGCGGACGGAGCGGCCGAUGGCAGAUUAGGUAGUUGGUGGGAUAAAAGCUUACCAAGCCGACGAUCUGUAGCUGGUCUGAGAGGACGACCAGCCACACUGGGACUGAGACACGGCCCAGACUCCUACGGGAGGCAGCAGUGGGGAAUUUUGGACAAUGGGCGAAAGCCUGAUCCAGCCAUGCCGCGUGCAGGAUGAAGGCCUUCGGGUUGUAAACUGCUUUUGUACGGAACGAAAAGACUCCUUCUAAUACAGGGGGUCCAUGACGGUACCGUAAGAAUAAGCACCGGCUAACUACGU